AAGAUGAAGUGCUGUUACUCGCAAGGUCGUCAAACUUGGUGCCAGAAAGUAGACCUUUUGGAUGGCAUGGAAUGCGAACACAAAAGCACAUGCAUGAAAGGCGUCUGUGGAGCGAAUAACCGGGCAGAAAAAUAGCCGAAAUAGCUACCUUACCAGAAGCAUUGGAGCCUUGUGAAGACAACGUGAACAGGAAUGGCACUAGAAUCUUUGACGAAGCCAUCAUUUUUUCCACAACCACUUCUUCAUUUGAACUUCAGGGUGGUAUGCCUCUUGUGACGCUCUAUAUGUAGUCAUAAGCCAUACGACGUUUAUAGAUUAAAUAAAGAAUGCGGUGUACAUACACCCCAACA
Molecule: long non-coding RNA, 350 nt
Organism: Rhipicephalus microplus (southern cattle tick)
Lineage: Eukaryota; Metazoa; Arthropoda; Arachnida; Ixodida; Ixodidae
Source: RefSeq, a predicted model, not a curated record